Loxodonta africana (African savanna elephant) is the source of this 4095-nucleotide long non-coding RNA. RefSeq lists it as uncharacterized. The transcript has 2 exons. Lineage: Eukaryota; Metazoa; Chordata; Mammalia; Proboscidea; Elephantidae. The record is from RefSeq and is a predicted model, not a curated record.
UGACUGCUCUGACAGCGAUCACAAUAGAGGGUCCUGACAGAACUGGAGAAAAAUGUAGAACAAAAUUCUAACUCAAAAAGAAAGACCAGACUUGCUGGCCUGACAGAGACUGGAGAAACCCUGGGAGUAUGGCCCAUGGACACCCUUUUAGCUCAGUAAUGCAGUCACUUCUGAGGUUCACCCUUCAGCCAAAGAUUAGACAAGCCCAUAAAACAAAACGAGACUAAAGGGGCCCACCAGCCCAGGGGCAAGGACUAGAAGGCAGGAGGGGACAGGAAAGCUGGGAAUAGGGAACCCAAGGUCGAGAAGGGAGACUGUUGACAUGUCAUGGGGUUGUUAACCAACGUCAUAAAACAAUGUGUGUACUAACUGUUUAAUGAGAAGCUAGUUCUGUAAACCUUCAUCUAAAGUACAAUUAAAAAAAAAAAUUUCACUGGGCCCGGACUCUCAGAUAUUAGUCUGUAUAAAGGCUGUAAUACUGGAGAAUGAGAUCUGCAGGCAGUUCAGGGUCAGAGUAGAUCCCCCCGAAUUCCAGAUGAAGGGUCAGAGCUGAGGUACGCUAACCAGGCUCUGGGCAGCUCUGGUGUCCGCUGAGAUCAAGGUUCCACACCGUGGCAGCCCAGGGGCCCUGGACCUGCCCGGGCUGUGGGAAGGCCCGUCUGCCCUCAUGCUCAGAUGUCAUGGAGUCUGGGAGCCAGGGCCAGAGGGGCCUGGGAACAGAAAUGGCCCCAUUGCCAGGGAUGCCACCCCUCCCUGAGUCACUGGCUCACCACCUCAUCCAAAUAUCGCUCCAGAGGCCAGCCGGAAAUGAGGGUGCUGCCGCCUUGUCCUGGGAGCCAGAGCAGGGGUGGGGAGGUAAGGGGUAGGAGAGGUCUGGUCACCCCUACCUCCUUGCCCAGGCCUGGGGUCUCUGCCUGCACCGCUCUCAGGGUCACUUGCCCUUGUGCACUGGGGAAUUCUGGGAGAGGGUCUGGAUGGGCGCCAGGACCACUUCCUCCUGGGGGACAAAAGCAUCAGGGCAGGGGGCCUUCCUCCUUUGUCUGGACCCUGACAUAAGGUUGAAAUCCUGUUUGGCAGCGGCCCUGCCUCUGUGAGCCUGGGUCUCUGAUCACCCUGGGCGUGUCCAGCCUCCUACUGUCCCCAGCAACCCCCUGGGUACCGCCCCGGCCCUUACAGCCACCACAUAAGGAAAUGUUUGUGCCUUUGGGCAGCAGCUCGGCUUGCUUGCUCCCUCCCUCUGUCUCCCUCCCCGCCCAGGCUGCCUCCCAGACCGGCGGCUGUGGGGACCAGAGGCACCGCCCUGAGGCCGGGGCGGGGGAGUAGGGAGGGCAGGUGGUGUGGGGACUCAUCAUUUGCUCUGAGGCCCAGAGAGCGCCCUGACCUUCUCUGGGCUGGGGGCGAGGGAGGAGGGCAGGAUACAUUUGGGGUCAAAGAGACCCCUGACUUUGGGUUCCUGUGGAGUGGCAUGGAGACUGAUCUUCCUAAAGAAACUCCACCCACAGUGUGGUUCCCCAGGGAGCCCAGAGCAAUGCCACUUCCCUGGGUUGUAAUGGAGGCGUCCUGACCCCCCCAGCCACUGCUUAGAGAAACAUUUCACAACCUGCUUCUGGCGGGCAAGUUCAGGCUCACGUGGGCUGCCUUCCUUCUGGAGUUUUCCAUUAAAUUAUUUACAAGUCACACUGGCCGUGAACAAGCCCACAGACCUCUGAAGGAAGUUGGCGGGCACAAGGUGCAUUUAUCCUUCUGCAAAGUCUCAUUUCUCAAGGGACCCUUCCUCUCUUAAAUGUGGCCCCCUAGAGGUAAGAAAGAAGCUGCCAAGGGUGGCACCUUUGAUGCCCCUGAGGUUACUAUUGGAGGCCAGAGAUUCCCCAGCAGGUGCUUCCUGGGCACGGACCCCGUGCCCAGUGAGGCACUCAGAGGGACAGUUCUGUUCCCCGCUUGGGUGGUAGGUAAAGGGCAGGGUGGGUGAGGGAGGAUGACACCACCCAGGUUCUUGGGCCUUUUGCAGGGCCAGAUUAAGGCAUGGGAGGGCCCUAAACACUGAUACUCUGUGGUGUCCCUCUUGUGCUUACUCACACAUUUGAACAGGACAUGUGAGUUAUGAUAUGUAUAUGUAUGUAUGUACUGCUGGCCCUCCUGGCUGGAGUUGCUGGAUCAGCAGACAUGGAUGUAAAAAACAGUUCCCUCAAAAUGGAUAGAGGCCUGUUAUCUGUUAAUAUAAUUCAUCCUUUCCCAGUAAUGAUCAAGUUGGAUCCAGUUGCAGAUUGGGUGGAGGUAGCAAGAGUUAGACUCCACAACCAACCCUCUACCUCUUGUUUAUUAGAAAGAAAGAGUAUACUCCCAAGAGACCAGUGGAGAUAAGGAGCUUCAAUUAUAAAGGAGGGGCCCAUAGGGGACAAGUAUCAACGAAGGUGUUAAAGUGGUAGGGAUCUCACAGCUUAAACAACCUUGUGUGUGGGUGCCCUCAUGACCCUGUGUGCACUUUAUUUCCAGCCAGCACGUUCUCACACACUGGAACUGGUACCAGUUUCAUUUAGUGCCCUGCCAGUUCCCUCCCGCUGCAGCGCUUGCUUUUCCUUGUGCCCUGUUGCUUCGCAUCUAUGGGUCUUUGGACAACUGGUGCCCCUAUUUUGUUGAUUCCCUAAGCAGGUACUUACCUUGCUUACUGGGUAAUUCAUCCCCGGCCUUUUGGGAAGUGUGAAAGGUGGAGCUGUGAGCCGGUACUACCUGUCAGCAGUAGGAGGGUGGGACCGCCUCACCUGCUUCCAGGUACACAGACUUUAUUUAGAUCACAUCUCCAAGCCUGGUUUCCUAGGAGGACCCAACCCAUGACCCUGCUGGUGGACUGAAACCAAACCAAACCAAACUCGGUGGCAAAACCUGAGUGACACAGAAACAAGAAGUCCACUGGCCUAAGGCCCCACCUCCCAGGCUGGCAGAGCUGCCCAAAUGUGGCUGCAGAGUGCUCAGCAGAGACACCCAACCUGACAGGCUGUCCCUGUGGGUCUUUUUACUUAAAGUCCGGGGUGCUCCUGAGGGUGUGUCAGCUCUGCAUUCCCCACCCUGGCAGCCUUAACUGGACCUGCCCCAGGCUGAGGCAACUGUGCCCAAUCAUACAGCUCUCCAUGUUGGCAGGGGUCACGUUGCCCAUCUGCCUCUAGCCCCUGCAGCACUGUAACCCAGGCGCAUUAUUACAGCCAGGACGAAGAGCCUACUGGGUGGGUCCUGAGGUCCUGUGACUAGGGUCUAUGGGCCCCUAGAGGCAGGAACUGUGUUGAUAGCUCUAACUCCCAACCCCCUCACAUAGCAAGUGCUCAAAAAAUACCUUCUGGAUGACAGAACAGAUCUUCCGCUGCAGUGGACCAAGAUCUGGGCCUGAAAAAAGGUGGUCAAUACCACCUAAGGUGCCCUGUGAAAGGGCUGUUUUCCAUCAUGAGCCAUUCAAACAGGGGCUCCGUGAUCCGUCUUGGGGAUGUUGUGGAGCGGCUCGCAUUGGGAAUGUAAAGGUACGUCAUUGGAGACGGACUUUUACGUCCUUCAAGUGUACCUAUGUACCACAAGCAUAAAAACCACUUGCCAUCCAGUCGAUUCUGACUCAUGGCGACCCCAUGUGUGUCAGUGUAGAACUGUGCCAUAGAGGGUUUUCAGUAGCUGAUUUUUCAUAAGUAGAUCGCCAGGCCUUUCUUCCAAGGUGCCUCUGGAUGGAUUCAAACUGCCAACCUUGGUAAGCAGCCAAGAGCCAUUAGGCGUUUGUACCAUCCAGGGACUCCAACAGGAGUAAAUCUGUAGCCCUAUGUAAAGUGCGCGCUGAGGUGGUGCUUCUUUGAUAGACAAAGAGGAAUUCUGCCCUGUUCUCCGGUGCGGUAUCUCCCUCCACCUGCACUGAGGGCGAGCGGUAGCUGGGCGAGUGGAAAGCUUCGCAGGCUCAGAGGAGCCAGGAACUGCUCACUUUGUCGUUGUGGCCCUGGGUCUCUGGGCAAGCUUCCUCAUGUCUUGCUGAUGUCAGAGGAGUCCCUGGGUGGUGCAAAUGAUUAACUUGUGAAACGUUGGAGGUUCAAGUCCACCCACAUGCAACUCAGAAGAAAGGCCUGAUGA